GAUGAACGCUGGCGGCGUGCUUAACACAUGCAAGUCGAACGAUGAAGCCCAGCUUGCUGGGUGGAUUAGUGGCGAACGGGUGAGUAACACGUGAGUAACCUGCCCUUAACUCUGUGAUAAGCCUUGUAAACUGGGUCUAAUACCGGAUAGGAGCGCCUACCGCAUGGUGGGUGUUGUUAAGAUUUAUCGGUUUUGGAUGGACUCGCGGCCUAUCUGCUUUUUGGUGAGGUAAUGGCUCACCAAGGCGACGACGGGUAGCCGGCCUGUGAGGGUGACCGGCCACACUGGGACUGAGAAACGGCCCAGACUCCUACGGGAGGCAGCAGUGGGGAAUAUUGCACAAUGGGCGAAAGCCUGAUGCAGCGACGCCGCGUGAGGGAUGACGGCCUUCGGGUUGUAAACCUCUUUCAGUAGGGAAGAAGCGAAAGUGACGGUACCUGCAGAAGAAGCACCGGCUAACUACGUG
This 466-nucleotide ribosomal RNA is filed under the name uncultured bacterium. RNAcentral's name for it is "partial 16S ribosomal RNA". It matches the Rfam family "Bacterial small subunit ribosomal RNA", at positions 28 to 507 of the family's 1533-position model. The record is from RNAcentral.